GUGGUCUUAUAGAUGAGGGGAUACAGAUAGAUGGAGUAUAAAUUAUUCCGUCUGUGGGCUUAUAGAUGAGGGGAUACAGAUAGAUGGAGUAUAAAGGCUUCAGUGUGUGGUCUUAUAGAUGAGGGGAUUCAGAUAGAUGGAGUAUAAAGUAUUCAGUCUGUGGGAUUAUAGAUGAAGGGACACAGAUAGAUGGAGUAUAAAGUAUUCAGUCUGUGGGCUUAUAGAUGAGGGGAUACAGAUAGAUGGAGUAUAAAGUAUUCAGUCUGUGGGCUUAUAGAUGAAUCGACACAGAUAGAUGGAGUAUAAAGUAUUCAGUCUGUGUGCUUAUUGAUGAGGGGAUACAGAUAGAUAUGUGGGCUUAUAGAUGAGGGGACACAGAUAGAUGGAGUAUAAAGUAUUCAAUCUGUGGGCUUAUAGAUGGGGGGAUACAGAUAGAUGGAGUUUGAAGUAUUCAGUCUGUGGGCUUAAAGAUGAGGGGAUACAGAUGGAGUAUGAAGCAUUCAGUCUGUGGGCUUAUAGAUGAAGGGACACCGAUAGAUGGAGUAUAAAGGCUUCAGUGUGUGGUCUUAUAGAUGAGGGGAUUCAGAUAGAUGGAGUAUAAAGUAUUCAGUCUGUGGGCUUAUAGAUGAGGGGAUACAGAUAGAUGGAGUAUAAAGUAUUCAGUCUGUGGGCUUAUAGAUGAGUCGACACAGAUAGAUGGAGUAUAAAGUAUUCAGUCUGUGUGCUUAUUGAUGAGGGGAUA
Molecule: long non-coding RNA, 742 nt
Organism: Oncorhynchus tshawytscha (Chinook salmon)
Lineage: Eukaryota; Metazoa; Chordata; Actinopteri; Salmoniformes; Salmonidae
Source: Ensembl